This 321-nucleotide unclassified non-coding RNA is filed under the name soil metagenome. RNAcentral describes it as "partial contains 5.8S ribosomal RNA, internal transcribed spacer 2, and large subunit ribosomal RNA". The stretch from base 1 to 120 matches the Rfam family "5.8S ribosomal RNA", at positions 35 to 154 of the family's 154-position model. The record is from RNAcentral.
GAUGAAGAACGUAGCGAAAUGCGAUAAGUAAUGCGAAUUGCAGAAUUCAGUGAGUCAUCGAAUCUUUGAACGCACAUUGCGCCCUGUGGUAUUCCACAGGGCAUGCCUGUUCGAGCGUCAUUUCAACCCUCAAGCUCUGCUUGGUGUUGGGCCCUGCCCGCUGCGGCCGGCCCUAAAGACAGUGGCGGUGCCGCCUGGCCCUGAGCGUAGUACAUCUCUCGCUCCAGUGCCCGGUGGUAGCCUGCCAGAACCCCAACUCUCGUGGUUGACCUCGGAUCAGGUAGGGAUACCCGCUGAACUUAAGCAUAUCAAUAAGCGGAG